Molecule: transfer RNA, 73 nt
Filed under: Rattus norvegicus (Norway rat)
Lineage: Eukaryota; Metazoa; Chordata; Mammalia; Rodentia; Muridae
Rfam family: tRNA
About the family: Transfer RNA (tRNA) molecules are approximately 80 nucleotides in length. Their secondary structure includes four short double-helical elements and three loops (D, anti-codon, and T loops). Further hydrogen bonds mediate the characteristic L-shaped molecular structure. tRNAs have two regions of fundamental functional importance: the anti-codon, which is responsible for specific mRNA codon recognition, and the 3' end, to which the tRNAs corresponding amino acid is attached (by aminoacyl-tRNA synthetases). tRNAs cope with the degeneracy of the genetic code in two manners: having more than one tRNA (with a specific anti-codon) for a particular amino acid; and 'wobble' base-pairing, i.e. permitting non-standard base-pairing at the 3rd anti-codon position.
Source: Rfam by way of RNAcentral
GGGGAUUUAGCUCAGUGGGAGAGCACUUGCCUAGCGAGCGAGCGCAAGGCCCUGGGUUCGGUCCCCAGCUCCG